CAUGUACUCCCUCCGUUUCAAAUUACUUGUCUCAAAAGUGGAUAAAAAUGAAUGUAUCUACAACUAAAAUAUGUCUAGAUACAUCUAUUUAUGCGACAAGUAAUUCCCGAUGGAGGAAGUAUUAA
Molecule: non-coding RNA, 125 nt
Organism: Triticum urartu
Lineage: Eukaryota; Viridiplantae; Streptophyta; Magnoliopsida; Poales; Poaceae
Source: Rfam